CCUGGUUUUACGCUGAAGGCAGCAUCUCCCACUUCACAAACUGUUCAUAGGAAUAGUCUUUCCUCUACAUUCCUUUUCAAAGAACUUUUGUGCACCCUGAAUUGGAGGUGGAGUAGUAAGCUGUGAAAAAUACAUUGUGUGCGGAGGCUGCCAAGAAGAGUGAUUUUAAGGAGGCUAUGCUGAAAUCUCUCUGGGUCUGGGCCUCCCACUGUUGAUAAGAAAGAUGCUUUCCCAAACGUAUGGGGAGGGCAUCUUUCACAUGAGAAUUUCGUCUCCUGCUUUUAAGACAUGGAAUGGCGAUCAGCUUAAAGCCAGAGCAAUGCCUUUGGGGUGGUGGGCUCUUAGCUCCUUCAGGAUCACGCCACAGAAGGAAAUCGGUGAGCACCUGCUCCCGCCCUCAGAAAAAGCUGCAGUUUCUUAGGGAGUGACAGCUGUUCAUGCCAGCUUUGGGGGCACUUCCCAUCUGGAGCAAAGGAGGUCAACUUCGAACAGCACGAAGCCAGCUGCUUCCCAAGGUAAGAAAUGUCAACAAAAUUCAAGUGACCAAACUCUCCGUUUUGAAGAUGGGGACUCUCAGUUUGGGGACAGGCCACACCGCUUCAAGAGAGCAUGGGGUUCUGCACCCGCACCUCUGAGCCCUCCUUUCAAAGGACGCAUUUGGUUCUUGCCUCGUUGGAAAGGCAGGUGGAGCUUCAUUUAAGGAAUAAUGACCCUGCCAUUACUGGCCAUUUUGGGCUUGAUUCAUUUUCCUUUCCAUAAACUCAGCCAAAGAGAGUCAAAGGCUUCCUUUAAGACACUCUCUUUUCUGUACUUGGACCUGCAGUGUGGCCCCUGGGAGGUGGACAAUGACUUCACUCUCAGCUCACAGCAUCCUUGCGUUCUGUGUCAGGGGAGCAAAAUCCCAUGUGAACUGGGCACCCUCCCUUUCCACAGACAUUAACCCCCAAACGUGAGAGCGGGCUCCCAGCCACCUGGAAGGCAGCAGCAUCCACGCCGCCGGAGCUGGUGUCUGAGGGGCAGAUGGCAUGGACAGGCUCCUCCCUUCAGGCAUUGCUAUGUCCUGGGAAGGAACAGAGAGAGGAAUACAAGGAUGAUGGGAGUCAAUUCAGUAAUUCCAAGUGGGACAUUAACAUGCCAGCCCUCUGCUCACUGAGGGACAGAGUGGUCUGCCCAGAGGAAGCAUGGUAGCCUGGGCCCGAGCUGCGGGACUGAGUGGCUGCCCUCCUGAAACCCACCCUCCUCUGUCCAAGAGCAGGAGCUGUGUUCAGCUGGGCAAGGCUGAUGACUGAAGCCUGGCUGCUGGUGCCUGGGAAUAAAUCAGAGGCUGACGAUGGUCACUGGAGAAGAACAGCAACAAGGCAUCAGUGACGAUUGCCACCUGUCAGUCGCCUCCUCAGAACCACAUCCUGAGCUGAGCUGUGACUAACUUGACCUCUGCACCUCUGUGAAAAAGGAUAUGGCUGCCCGUUUUCCAGCAAGGAAUGAGGACUGAGGGCAGCUCUUGGCUUUGGUUGGCCAGGGCUUGAACCUUCUG
RNAcentral lists this long non-coding RNA (1534 nucleotides) under Homo sapiens (human). RNAcentral describes it as "HSALNT0083073". Lineage: Eukaryota; Metazoa; Chordata; Mammalia; Primates; Hominidae. The record is from RNAcentral.